This 4290-nucleotide long non-coding RNA is filed under the name Homo sapiens (human). Its description in RNAcentral is "long non-coding RNA NONHSAT183656.1". Lineage: Eukaryota; Metazoa; Chordata; Mammalia; Primates; Hominidae. The record is from RNAcentral.
CCAAUUCUGACAGGAUUAGUGUCCUUAUAAGAGGAGAGACCAAAAAGCUCACUCUCUCUCUCUCCACACCCACGCACGGAGGCAAGGACAUGUGAGGACAUAGUGAGAGGUGGCCAUCUGGAAGCCAGAAACUAAAUCGUUUCAUAUGCUGAUCUCGAACUUCCCAGUCUCCAGAACUGUGAGAAAAUAAAUUGGUUAUUUAAGCCACCCAGUGUUUUGUUAUGGCUGCCUAAAUAGACUAAGACCAAUUAUUUUGACCGCUUUUCUACCCUCUCAAAUUUUCUUCAAUGAGAAUGCAUUGCUUCUGUGAAGGUUCUAAGUUCUGUUCAGUAAAUAUUUCUGGCUCUCUGCCUUCUGAGCACACUUGGAGUUGCACUCCGCUAUCUUGAAGUUAGGGCAUGGCCAGGAGACCAUCUGGCCAAUGAAAAGGACCAGGUCAUAAUUCAUCUCAUUCCUUUCCUCCAGUGGGGCAAUCCUGAAAGUACAUGAUGUUGACACAAAGUUUCCAUCAUCCAGGGUCUUUGAGUGACUGCCCAUUAGCAGAGACUUCCUGCCUGACAGACAUUGAUUGAAAAAUAGAUACAUGAUUGCUGCAGUUAUUUGUUACCACAGCAUGGCCUGGCCUACCCUGACUAAUAUACUUUCUAAAUCACAAAGAAAUAAAUUUGUAAACCUUUUAAAAUUUAAAUAACAUCUGCUUUUAGAUAGAAUUAGACUGUACUUAGAACAAAUUAAGCCAUGUUUGUUAUCAUCUACCUCGUGAGGAAAAAGUGCAAUAAAAUAUACCCCCGCCCAAACAUGCAUUAUGCUGCUUUGUCUUCCAUUGUUGAUAAUAUUCUUUUGAGCUCAAGUAUCUCUAUUUCUAUCCACGCUCUUCCUAAAUGAUCAUAAGGAUAACUCAUUAAGAAAUUUUUAAUCAAGAGUAGCUUAACAUGAAUACUGCAUGAGCUCCAUUAUUGCUAGAUUACUGAGUUGCUGAAGGACAAGGACACAGGAAAAGCCACUGAGUAAGUUGCCAUAGUAGAGGGUUUGGGACAAUUAAGUAGUGAAUCUUCUCUGAAUAAAAAAUGAAAGGUGAUUUAAAAACAAGGUCAAAAUGUCUUCACAACAUUAAUCAAGGAAGACUCUAAGACUGUUCAAAAAGAAUGUAGUGAAUUUUUUUUUCUAUGGGAAAUUACUUGUCCUAUUUAUGCAUCUUACAAAUCAGAAAAUUCUAGAGGAACAAAUAGAGUGUAAGAUGUGCCGCUUAGAAGGAGGCAGCCAAGAAGCAGUGGGAAGAUGCAAAUAUUUGCUGUAUGUCAUAAGGAACAAUUACAGGCCCCUCAUCAGAAAUGCAACACAACUUCCCUCUGAACUCAGUAGUCCUCAUUUUACAUAAAGUAUGAAUAAAACAUUGGGCCCUAUUUCCAGAACAACCUGUUAUAAAAAUGGCAUCAGUGAAAGAAAUGGGGAAGGCAGGAGCAGUCAGGCAGUUAUGCUAUGAAUGUCAUAGCACAAAUUUUUCCAUUAAAAGUAAAUCCCCCACAUAAAAAUGCUCCACUUCACAGUAACUAUUCUGUGUUGUAGCUCCUGUGAAUCAAGCUUGGGCUAUAAAUGCAUAAGAGUGGACAACAGUGUGACUUGCUAAUUGCCACCUUCUCCAAUUGGCAUGGAGCCUGGUAGAAAAAAAUACUAUUUGCAGCUCCCUAUUAAAAGCAAAUCUCCCCAUAGAUGUUCUCUGGAAUAUACCAUUUUUCUUCUUUAUUUCCAAAACAUAUGGAAGGUGACAAGAUACUCUUGCCUCACCCACUUCUGCUGACAGGAUUCUAUAUUAAUUCCUUGGUAGGGAUACUCACAGAAAUAGAGAGCACAUGGAGCCACAAAAAUGACAAUAUUAGGAAAAUGCUGAAGCAUCUGAAUAAGUUUAGGUCGGCCCCUUUCUUCAGGCUUUUCAUUUUUCUCACUCAGCUGCUUCUAAGGCAUUGUUUCGUUGACUUCUUUGUGACUUCCAGACCCAAUGUCCUCUGCUUUCCUGCAGGGUCCAGCCCGCUCCUGUCAUCAAGCUUGGGCUAUUUCCUUCCCUCUCCAACUUAGACCACAGGAUCCACCCCGCAAGCAAGAUCCAGCCAAUAUCCUCAAGUAGAAUUGACACAUUCGAUGAGGACAUUGGAAAGAUAGUGGCACAAAGAGCACCGAGGACGUUGAUACAUCGGCUCAAAAGGCAUAAAGAGUAAGGAAAGGAGAUUUUCUCAUGUAACAAGAAGGGCACUGGGUCAAUCAAUGAUAUUAUCAAGGGCAGACUUCCAUUUCAUUCCUGAAUUCUUCUGUGUCACCUUGUCUUUAGGCUAGUUCACCAAGCAUCGCCUGCAGACAGGACAGCCUCCCAAGGUAGAAAAUAAACCAUCUUUUUUUUUUUUUUUUUUUUUUUUGAGACAAGAGUUUCCCUCUAUCACCCAGGCUGGAGUGCAGUGGCAUGAUCUUGGCUCACUGCAACCUCCACCUCCCGGGUUCAAGCGAUUCUCCUGCCUCUGACUCCCAAGUAGCUAGGAUUACAGGUGUGUGCAACCAUGCCCAGCUAAUUUUUUUUUUUUUUUGUAUUUUUAGUGAAGAUGAGGUUUCACUAUGUUGACCAGGCUGCUCUGGAACUCCUGACCUCAAGUGAUGUAACCACCUCGGCCUCCUGAAGUGCUGUGAUUACAGGCAUGAGCCACCACACUUGGCCAAACCAUAUCUUUCUUAAAUAUUUUUUAGAAGUAAGAAAAUAUUUCCCUCUUUGUGGAAUCCCCCUCAUUGCCUGGAAUUACAUCACAUGCUCAUGCUCUUGCCCAAAUUAGUCACUGGUGAAAGAAACAUCAUGAUUGGCUUAGACUGAUAAGUAUCAGGGCCAUCCUCCCCUGAAGUAGGUGUCUAAUCUGAGAAGAGUAGUUACUAAACAAAAACCGCGUUCCAUUAGAAGGGAGGAAGGGACAAGAGUGGUGUGUGGUGUAAGUAAUCAAUCAUGCAAUUCUAGUUCAGUCCAACAAUCUGCCUUUCCUCCAGGCUGGCCAUCGGCCUCUGCUGGCAAAAUCUUGGAGCAUGUAUGACGGGUGCUCACUAAUGACAGUCUGACACACAGGACCUUAUCACCUCCUAGUCCUGUAUCCUACUCCGUUCCCCAGAGGGGGUGUUUUAAACUUCUGUGUUGCUUCAUCCCCUUUCACUCACAUCCACUCCCUGAAAAAUUGUCUCACCUCCCACCUCACAAGGAAAAUGGGUGAUAUCAGACAAGAGCUCCAUUGAUUUUCUAAAGCAGCUCUACAAAUGUACCCACUCGAACCCAGCCUGCUCCUUCUUUCCUGUCACAAUGGAAAAGCUGUUUCUUAUCCUAAAUCCACAGUAAAUCCAUUUACCUCUAAUAUGGACCCUAUUCUUUCUCCCUUUUCUGGAGCCCUUCUGUCAGUAGGCGCCCUCUAUACUCUAUUUUCAAUCUCUCGUUCACUGCCUGCUUAAUUCUAACAGCAAGGGAUUCCAUCAACAUGCUCAACUCCAGCCAAUUUUUUUUAAAGAAUAAAUCCCUCCUUUAUUCCAUAUCCCUACCAACUCUCACACUAUCUCUGUUCUCCCCUUCACAGGCAAACUUCUUGAAAGAGUAGUCUCCACUUCCUGUCUCUUCUUCCUUGCUUCCACUCACACCCUAAACCAUUGCAAUCUGGCAUCUAUGCCCAUCUUUUCACAAAAGCACCCUCACAGUGCUCCUAAUGACCCCCUCACCCUUAACCCAAGCUCACUCUGUGGCUGGUCUGAAUGUCUGUGUCCCCCACCAAGAUCCAUAUGCUGAAACUUCAAUCCUCAAUGAGACCAGAGGUGUGGCCUUUGGGAAGCAAUUAGGUGACCAGGCCUCCAACCUCACCAAUGGGGUUAAUGUUUUUAUCAAAGAGGCCUGAGGGAGCUUGUUUGCCCCUUCAGCCAUUUGAGGACACAGAGAAGGGGCCAUCUAGGAGACACAGGCCUUCACCAGACACCGAAUCUGCUGGCCCCUUGAUCUUGGACUUCCCAGCCUGCGGAACUGAGCAAUAAAUUCUGUGGCUUAUAAAUUACUCAGUCUAAGGUAUUUUGUUGUAGCAGCUGAAUGGACUAAGACAACCUCUUAGAGGCACUGGGCAUGUUAUUGUUCACCUCUCCUCAGGGAAAUGCUACCUUUGUAUUUUUUUUUUUUUUUUCUGAGACAGAGUUUCGCUCUUGUUGCCCAGGCUGCUGGAGUGCAAUAGCGCAAUCUCAGCUCACCUCAACCUCCGCCUCCUAUUUUUUUUGUAUUUUUAGUAGAGACAGGGU